AACGAACGCUGGCGGCAGGCCUAACACAUGCAAGUCGAGCGAGACCUUCGGGUCUAGCGGCGGACGGGUGAGUAACGCGUGGGAAUAUGCCCUUUGGUACGGGAUAGCCUCGGGAAACUGGGAGUAAUACCGUAUGUGCCCUUCGGGGGAAAGAUUUAUCGCCAAAGGAUUAGCCCGCGUUGGAUUAGGUAGUUGGUGGGGUAAUGGCCUACCAAGCCUACGAUCCAUAGCUGGUUUGAGAGGAUGAUCAGCCACACUGGGACUGAGACACGGCCCAGACUCCUACGGGAGGCAGCAGUGGGGAAUCUUAGACAAUGGGGGCAACCCUGAUCUAGCCAUGCCGCGUGAUCGAUGAAGGCCUUAGGGUUGUAAAGAUCUUUCAGCUGGGAAGAUAAUGACGGUACCAGCAGAAGAAGCCCCGGCUAACUCCGUGCCAGCAGCCGCGGUAAUACGGAGGGGGCUAGCGUUGUUCGGAAUUACUGGGCGUAAAGCGCACGUAGGCGGAUUGGAAAGUUGGGGGUGAAAUCCCGGGGCUCAACCUCGGAACUGCCUCCAAAACUAUCAGUCUAGAGUUCGAGAGAGGUGAGUGGAAUUCCGAGUGUAGAGGUGAAAUUCGUAGAUAUUCGGAGGAACACCAGUGGCGAAGGCGGCUCACUGGCUCGAUACUGACGCUGAGGUGCGAAAGCGUGGGGAGCAAACA
RNAcentral lists this ribosomal RNA (700 nucleotides) under uncultured Alphaproteobacteria bacterium. RNAcentral's name for it is "bacterial SSU rRNA". It matches the Rfam family "Bacterial small subunit ribosomal RNA", at positions 28 to 774 of the family's 1533-position model. Lineage: Bacteria; Pseudomonadati; Pseudomonadota; Alphaproteobacteria. The record is from RNAcentral.